RNAcentral lists this ribosomal RNA (253 nucleotides) under uncultured bacterium. Its description in RNAcentral is "partial 16S ribosomal RNA". It matches the Rfam family "Bacterial small subunit ribosomal RNA", at positions 524 to 776 of the family's 1533-position model. The record is from RNAcentral.
UACAGAGGUCCCAAGCGUUGUUCGGAUUCACUGGGCGUAAAGGGUGCGCAGGUGGGCUGUCAAGUUCGAUGUGAAAGCCCCGGGCUUAACCCGGGAACGGCAUUGAAAACUGAUGGUCUGGAGGGUUGGAGGGGGGACUGGAAUUCUUGGUGUAGCAGUGAAAUGCGUAGAUAUCAAGAGGAACACCAGUGGCGAAGGCGAGUCCCUGGACAAUACCUGACACUGAGGCACGAAAGCCAAGGGAGCAAACAGG